Molecule: long non-coding RNA, 616 nt
Filed under: Zonotrichia albicollis (white-throated sparrow)
Lineage: Eukaryota; Metazoa; Chordata; Aves; Passeriformes; Passerellidae
Description: lncRNA (ENSZALG00000014407.1)
Source: RNAcentral
GAUGAACAGGACAGUAAAGAUUAGGGCCAAAUCCUCAAGUGGCUGCUCUCUGGCAUGUAGAACUUAAGUUUAUUAGCACAUUGUUUGGUGGUUCUUAAAAGGAUUGAGGGCAUCUCAGGGCAUCUUGGAAAAUUUUGGAUUUUUUCAGAGGGAGAGAGAGAAUUGCACUUGGCAAUUCCUGUUUCUACACUGUCAAGGAGUGCUCAACUACAAAAUUUUCCUUCCAGCAGGUCCAAGUAAGUCCGGGGUGGAUCUAGCUUCACUGUCUCUGAUUAUAUCUGUGGGCAAAAGAAGAGAGAGGAAGAAAGAGAAAAAACAUUGUCAGACUGACAAGGUUAGACCAAAACUAAGCAAGGAGGAAAACAGCUCUUCUACUCCAGGAUGUGAAUAGCAGAAAGUGCUUCUCAUUAUUUCAUCCAUAGCUGUCUUCUUAAAAGCACACUAAGGUUUUGCAUCACCUUGGUAACUGUAGAUCUUGGAGCAGAUGUUUUAAAUACGAUAAAGACAAUGGCAGUAUGUCCUCUUGCUAUGAAACUCCCAGCAAGUGGACGUGGUCCAGAAUUCCAUUCCAGAAGAUGAUUUCACAACAGUGAAUUAAAUCAGGAUUUCUACUCAC